Molecule: long non-coding RNA, 233 nt
Filed under: Setaria italica (foxtail millet)
Lineage: Eukaryota; Viridiplantae; Streptophyta; Magnoliopsida; Poales; Poaceae
Description: long non-coding RNA (SITA_LNC006161)
Source: RNAcentral
GGAAUUUUAAACAACAGCAAUUUGUGUCCUAAAAAAAUCAACAACAAUCUGCUAGUAGUUAGUAGUAUUUAUUUUAAUCAGGAGAGGCAUGUUCUGAACUUCUGACGAAACUGAAACUGAAUGAGGAUGAGCCGUCACCGUCGACGAAAGCUCUGACGAAACUGAAGAACCAGGAGCAGCGGCAGGAUGAUGUUCUGAAGAAACUGAAACUGAACGAGGAUGAAGGAGUGAAG